Molecule: ribosomal RNA, 200 nt
Filed under: uncultured bacterium
Lineage: Bacteria
Description: partial 16S ribosomal RNA
Rfam family: Bacterial small subunit ribosomal RNA
Source: RNAcentral
AGAGUUUGAUCAUGGCUCAGGACGAACGCUGGCGGCGUGCCUAAUACAUGCAAGUCGAGCGGAGUUAUUCCUUCGGGGAUAGCUUAGCGGCGGACGGGUGAGUAACACGUAGGUAACCUGCCUGUAAGACUGGGAUAACUAUCGGAAACGAUAGCUAAGACCGGAUACGAGUUUUCCUCGCAUGAGGGAGAUUGGAAAAG